UAGUGAUUAUCACCUGAAGGAAAUGACUUAUGAAAACAAUUAUGUGACAGUUUUGGAGAAAACAGUGAGACUAUGAGAAUAGAUUAUUUUGAUUCACAAGUGUAACUUUUUUCAUCUGUAUGACCAAAGCUAUUUGUGUCCGGUAUAUAUGGUAAUAAUAAGCAUUCUCUAUGACAUCUUGUAGCCUGUAGCUUUUCUUGCAGGAAACUGGAAACAUGUCAGGAUGCCUUUCUGAACUCUGGCCUUGCUCCUAACUGGAGCCAUUGCACCAGGCUCUGAGAGGCAUUAGCACCAUACCAUUCAGAGGUGAGAAAAUCAAGAACUGUAGAGAAGUUUGGAGGAAGAGCAAGUACAUGGACUUCACAGUGAUGGUUGCAAUCAACGUAAGAAACAGAAGAAUAGAAAUGUGGCCUUGGGGGUAUACCCAGUAAUUUCUCCAAUUCUUCAGAUGUCAGCAGAUCUAUUACAGAUUUUGCAUUUAACAUGUCAGUCUGAUGGGUGUCUGUGACUGACAGAAGUGACUAGGGGUGUGGGGAGUGGCAAGUUACUCGCAGGAGCCAUGAAAACAGUGUAUAAAGUUGGAAUUGGGAGCACUAAGCCUGAAACUCUGUUUUUAUCAUUUUUAGUUCUAUGACUUUCAGCAAGUGUUUUAAAGUUCCCGAGGCUCCAUUUCUUCUGUGUAAGAUGGAGAUAAUAACCAUCUUAAAAGCUUUUAAAGUAGGGCUAAAUGAGUUAAUGACUUGGAAAAGGCCUUGCUUAGUGACUCAGUCCUCAACACUUUGAGAUUGUUUGAGUAAAGGUAGAUAGGAUUUUCUAGGCUGUGGUGAUUUUUCCAUUAUGCUUUUUAGUAUAUAGUUGUCUAGCUCACAUUUAGUGAGCACUUAAUUUGUUUCAUGCAUUGUUUUGUGAGUUUCAUCUUAUGACUUGUUGACUCCUCAAUGACUAUGUGAGGUAGAUCUUUUACUUUCCUUUCACAAGUGAGAACUCUGGGGUCGAGUUUCGUGACAGAGCCCAAAUUUGAACCUGAACAUGUGGCUUGUCCCUGGAGCUUUCUUAACCCUGCUUCUAGAUGGUGAAGUCACUCUAUCCACAUUAGGGCAGAAGGAACAAAAGAAAAUACUAUGUAGUGAGGGGUAAUCUCUACAUACUAAAAAGAUAAACUCAUUUUAACUUAUUCACCCAUUUGGAAAAGGAUUGAAAUGACCAUUUGUCUUAUCUUUGAUUUGUACAUUGUUUCUUUCAAUUUUGAAUAAUUAAUUCUGAUACAGAGUAAAAGUUGUAGUGAUUUCCAAUCAAAUCUUUUCUCUUAAGCUAAGCAGUCUUUCUCAUUUGUUGUUUCCUCUUAUUCUUUUGUGUUUUUGUAUGGGAUCCUGAAAUUGGAUGUGUUUAUUGUGUAGACCACAAAGGAUACCUAGGGAAGGUAAAGCAGCCUUAACGAGAGGAUUAAGCAAGUCAAGAGCCAUAUGUGAUAAUCCACCUCUUCAAAAAAUAGGCAUCCUGGCCUUUAUGAUUGGUUUAUGAUAGAAGACCUCCCUGUUUCACUCACACCAUGCUAAGUUAUGGUUUUCCUUACAAGCCUUAGAAUAUUUAUUUUCUUCUUCUUAGAAAAGCUGGGAUAUUUUUCUCAGGUUUGUUGAUAUCUGCUUGUAUCUGAGUAAAUGGACUCUAGAUCUUUCUGUGCUGAGAGUUUUCUGAAGAAAAUGGAGGCAAAACUGUUUUUAUUUGUUUGUUUUUUUCUUUAGGGCCACACACCUGGCACAUGGAAGUUCCCAGGCUAGAGGUCAGGUUCCCAGCCACAGCCACAGCCACAGCCACAGCCACACCAGAUCCCAGCCACAUUUGCAACUUAUGCUGCAGUUUGCCCCGGCAACACUGGAUCCUUAACCCAUUGAGCAAGGCCAGGAAUCGAACCCAGAUCCUCAUGGAUACUUGUCAGGUUCAUUACUCCUGAGCCACAACAGAAACUCCCAAAAUUGGUUUUGAAUUUUGGGUGCGUGCUUUGUGGAUUAUUUAGAUCAGAGAUUACGCGAUUUAUCAAUUAUCCUAAGAUUUGCAGGGCGAAUACUCCUUCACCCCCUGUUCCUUUAGCCUUCAUUCGUUUUUUGGUUCAAUGGAUUGAUUUUGUUUUUAGAUAUGACAGUGAGACUUAAUGAGAAGGAUAAUGUGGUGGAAUCAGAAGUGACUCCUCUUUCUCUUCUCUUAUUAUUACUGCUUUAUAAUAAUAAUAAUAAUAAUAAUUGGCAGUGAUAGUAGCUGUAACAAAAAUAACUACAGUGUGGUGAUCAUGUUUUACGUGUCACCUGAAUUAUGUAAUAUAAUCAUUAUAUAGUUACCCACAGAAGUAAUAAGUGUAAGGGUUAAGUAGGUAUAUUAUAUCAUCAUUUAAAUGGUGAAGAAGUUGAGGUUAAAUACACUGAAUAAUUCUCCAGUCAGCUAGCAAGUACGUGGCAGAGCUAAAAUCCAAACCCAUGACUGCCUCCUUCCUAUCUCAUAUUCUACUACUGCUAUUACCUCUUCAUU
This 2520-nucleotide long non-coding RNA is filed under the name Sus scrofa (pig). RNAcentral's name for it is "lncRNA (ENSSSCG00045017329.1)". The record is from RNAcentral. Lineage: Eukaryota; Metazoa; Chordata; Mammalia; Artiodactyla; Suidae.